GGAACCCUUGCUUACCUAGAUAACGUCACAUUUUAUGGGGAUGAUGAUUAAAAUUCUUUAUAAAUGCUGCGGAGCGGCAAGGUUUACCGGAAUAUGUUCACAGCGACAGAGGAUCUUUCUUUUUGGCUAAUGAACUGAGACAGUUUCUUACAAGAAAGGGUAUAGCGACUAGCAACACGACACAUUAGCACCCGAAAGGGAAUUUAGCUAUCAAGAAAUCUGCCCGGGAGUGCUUGGGAGGAAGUUCAGCCAGACGCUCUACAUGCGACAAGAUCACUUCUCUGAACCUCCAUUGGUACUACGCCACAUAAUCGCUUGUUCAAUUUUGAAAGACGGUCUAUGCUUGGAAAGUCCGGACCAGACUGGCUUUUGAAUGGCGGUAACCCGUUCUGUGAAGAAGUUGAACUCCUUGAAGCUAACACCAAGUACUUGUUAAUUCGUUAUCCCAAUGGUCGAGAAUCCUCGACACCAAUGGCGCGAUUCCCUAAAACUGUACAAUCGGAUGGCAAGCAAUUGGAAAUUGAAAAGUCUGAACCCGUAUCGGAUUCAUCUCAUCAGGAUGCGCCAUCCAGUUUUGAGAAUCCCGAUGAAGAGCGAUGACACAAUUCCUUCUGAUUAUUUAGUUAAGUAGCAGAUGAAACUUCUUCUUCAAUGAAGAAGGAAGAGAUGUCGAUUCGUCGGUCGAGUCGUUUAAAAUAGGCGUCUGAUCGUUAUGGAGACUGGGCCUCGUGAUUGUGUGAUUUUCGAAUUCCUUUAUUUCAGAUUUGAGUUUUUAUUUCAAUAUUUGAGUAAUAAAUAUACUUUUAUUGUUUUACUUUUA
This is a non-coding RNA of Styela clava, 820 nucleotides long. Lineage: Eukaryota; Metazoa; Chordata; Ascidiacea; Stolidobranchia; Styelidae. The record is from RefSeq and is a predicted model, not a curated record.